AUUAGCAUCUGUAAGACCCAGGUGCAGAAGCUGAGACAGCAAAUUCAAUAACAAAUUCAAUUUCCAAACUGUUUUUCAGUUUCGCAACAAUAGGUUGCAUGGGGUGCCCAUAUGAAAGGGAUUCUCUUAAUCACAGCAUUUACCAUGACCUGGGUAGUGAGCUGUGGGCCCUGUAUGAACCCAGACAUGCUCGGCAGCACUCAAAACCAAAAACACCGCUCCUAAAUAAGUCUCUCAUUUUGGUGAGGGUUCUUCAGGAAGCAAUGACGGCGAUCCACUGAAUGAAGCAACUCCUUCACACCACACCCCCUGGAUUCAAUAGCUUCUUGGGUUCGCCCUUCCCCCACGUUGAUAUGUCCCUUGGGGCACGACUUUGAGGCUAAUGGCUGAAGCUCAGAUUCACUGAAAUUUGAGUUUGGUCUAGCAUCAAGGUCCAACUCAGCAUUCUCUCUGACUUUUAGCUUUGCUAUUACAGGCAAGAAUAAUUUAGAGAUCGAAUAUUUUGUCGUCUUCUCACUAGUUUGCAUUUCCUUACACAUCCGGUUGCUGGGGAGGAAGAAGAACCAAGUCCCCAGGAUUUGGACCCAUCUCUAAAUUCCAUUGGGUUGACGGUUGUGCUUAGCAGGAAGGAACAGGUCUAUGCUAUCUUGUCCGGACUGGAAACCUCUAUUUUUUAACCAUCAAUGCCUCUCAGGUCUGACCUCAGACCCAAGCCUCUGUGAACUCUUCCACCAUCAGUGCUACUCUAGUCUGUCCUCGAACGCGGGUUUCUGUCAGUUCACCGCCAGUGCCCGUCUUUUAUAUAUCUUCAACUCCGGCCUCUGCGAGCUCUGCUACCAUCCACGCCCUUCUGGUCUGUAACUCAGAACCACGCCUCUUUCACCUUGACCACCGUCAAUGGCAUAUUGUGUAGAAUCGUGCCACCAGAUAUGGCAGAUGCUAGCCACGUGUAGCUACUGAGCACUUGAAAUGAGGCUAAUGAGACUGAGAAUUGAAUUCUAAAUUUUAUUUAUUUUAAUUAAUUAAAAAUUUAAAAUAGGUGCUCAAUUCAGUUAUUGGAAACCUUUUAAACUAUUUUUGGAACAACUCGUGACUAUUAAUCUACAUUUUCAACUGUAAAUUUUAAGAAAUCUAAAUACAAAUCAAGUAUUUCCGAUGAAAAUUUAGCAUUCAAAUUGAGAUGUAUUGUGAGUGUAAAAUAGACGUCUGAUUUCAUAGACUAAUUACAAGAAAAAGAAUGCCAAAUCCCAUUAAUAAUUUAAAAAAUUGAUUACAUGUUGAAAUGAUAAUGUUUUGGAUAUGUGG
This 1305-nucleotide long non-coding RNA is filed under the name Equus asinus (donkey). Its description in RNAcentral is "lncRNA (ENSEASG00005027753.1)". The record is from RNAcentral. Lineage: Eukaryota; Metazoa; Chordata; Mammalia; Perissodactyla; Equidae.